This 650-nucleotide ribosomal RNA is filed under the name uncultured bacterium. RNAcentral's name for it is "bacterial SSU rRNA". It matches the Rfam family "Bacterial small subunit ribosomal RNA", at positions 65 to 715 of the family's 1533-position model. The record is from RNAcentral.
AGGGGCGCUGCUUGCUAUUUGCUGACGACCGGCGCACGGGUGCGGAACGCGUAUGGAACCUGCCCCUGUCAGGGGAAUAGCCCAGAGAAAUUUGGAUUAAUGCCCCAUGGUAACGACAGAUCGCAUGAUCUGUUGUUUAAAGAUUUAUCGGACAGGGAUGGCCAUGCGUACCAUUAGCUGGUUGGUAAGGUAACGGCUUACCAAGGCAACGAUGGUUAGGGGCCCUGAGAGGGGGAUCCCCCACACUGGUACUGAGACACGGACCAGACUCCUACGGGAGGCAGCAGUGAGGAAUAUUGGACAAUGGGCGGGAGCCUGAUCCAGCCAUGCCGCGUGCAGGAUGACUGCCCUAUGGGUUGUAAACUGCUUUUAUACGGGAAGAAACCUAUCCACGUGUGGAUAGCUGACGGUACCGUAAGAAUAAGGACCGGCUAACUCCGUGCCAGCAGCCGCGGUAAUACGGAGGGUCCGAGCGUUAUCCGGAAUCAUUGGGUUUAAAGGGUCCGUAGGCGGGCGUAUAAGUCAGGGGUGAUAGUUUGCGGCUCAACCGUAAAAUUGCCUUUGAUACUGUACGUCUUGAGUUAUAGUGGAGUUGCCGGAACAUGUGGUGUAGCGGUGAAAUGCAUAGAUAUCACAUAGAACACCGAUCG